Molecule: ribosomal RNA, 546 nt
Filed under: Pholiota humii
Lineage: Eukaryota; Fungi; Basidiomycota; Agaricomycetes; Agaricales; Strophariaceae
Description: partial large subunit ribosomal RNA
Rfam family: Eukaryotic large subunit ribosomal RNA
Source: RNAcentral
UUCCCCUAGUAACUGCGAGUGUUUGGGUGGAAGCWMAAUUUAAAAUCCCGGCAGCCUUUGGUUGUCCGAGUUGUAAUCUAGAGAAGUGUUAUCCGCGCUGGACCGUGUACAAGUCUCCUGGAAUGGAGCGUCAUAMAGGGUGAGAAUCCCGUCUUUGACACGGACUGCCAGGGCUUUGUGAUGCGCUCUCAAAGAGUCGAGUUGUUUGGGAAUGCAGCUCAAAAUGGGUGGUAAAUUCCAUCUAAAGCUAAAUAUUGGCGAGAGACCGAUAGCGAACAAGUACCGUGAGGGAAAGAUGAAAAGAACUUUGGAAAGAGAGUUAAACAGUACGUGAAAUUGCUGAAAGGGAAACGCUUGAAGUCAGUCGCGUUGUUUGGGAAUCAACCUUGCUUUUGCUGGGCGUACUUUCCAGAUGACGGGCCAGCAUCAAUUUUGACCGUUGGAUAAAGAUUAGAGGAAUGUGGCAUCUUCGGAUGUGUUAUAGCCUCUAGUCGCAUACAACGGUUGGGAUUGAGGAACUCAGCACGCCGCAAGGCCGGGUACUUG